This 252-nucleotide ribosomal RNA is filed under the name uncultured bacterium. RNAcentral describes it as "partial 16S ribosomal RNA". It matches the Rfam family "Bacterial small subunit ribosomal RNA", at positions 524 to 776 of the family's 1533-position model. The record is from RNAcentral.
UACGGAGGAUGCGAGCGUUAUCCGGAUUUAUUGGGUUUAAAGGGUGCGUAGGCGGAUUUUUAAGUCAGCGGUAAAAUGUCCGGGCUCAACCCGGGCCGGCCGUUGAAACUGGGGAUCUUGAGUGGGCGAGAAGUAUGCGGAAUGCGUGGUGUAGCGGUGAAAUGCAUAGAUAUCACGCAGAACUCCGAUUGCGAAGGCAGCAUACCGGCGCCCGACUGACGCUGAGGCACGGAAGCGUGGGGAUCGAACAGG